UGUUGUUUCCACCGUAUGGACCAAACUGUUACCCCUUUCUACCAGCAGGUGGCAGUAUUUAAACGACUGACUGUAUUGUGCCUUUGGCAACUGUUUUAAAUCAAGAUUACUGAUACAGAUGUAUUAAUUGAUGUUCAUUUCAUUUUUUUAUAUUAUUUGCAACCUAGUUAUCAUCACCGUCUGCAUGCCCUUCUGUUUUAACCUGAUUCACUGCUAUCAUCUCCAUGCUGGUAUGUUCAAAUCAGAAAUGUCCUAAUGUAGGCCAUUUAGUCAAAACAAUGAUUUACCAGUGUGCUAUAUACUGUGUGAAUCUUUCUUCUCUAUACACAUUCCAGUGUGUAUAACAUACAACACUCCCAUUGUGUCACGCAAGUGAAGAUAAGCCAUAAAGGUCUUAAACAUUUAUUCAACAUAAUAGCACAGACAUGCUUUCAAAGACAUUGCAUGUGCAAUAUAUGGUUGCAGAACAUUUACCGUGAAGUCCUAAGGCUUAUAAUUCUGUUUAGUAUAAUUGCUUCUAUAUACAGUUCAUGGAGAUCUCUGCUAAUGAGUUUAUGAUUUGAAUCAUGUGUGUUAAAUAAGGGAGACAUACAAAAUGUGCAGAGCAGUGGGAUCCAGGAAUAACAUUGAGAACCACUGGUCUACAGGACCAGAGAAGACAGCAAACCAUGCAGAAGAGACCCCAAAGGAUACUAAAGGACAGUACCCGCCCAGCCACAACCUGUUCACCCUGCUGCCUUCUGGAAACAAUAGAAGUUUCUGCUGCCAGACUGUAGAGCAGCCCCCCCCCCCCCCCAAGUAAUCGGACUGGUAAACUCUAGUUCAUCCUUAGCACUCCUCCACUGAUUAUAAUUUAUUUCUGUUUAUUAUAAUUGGUUCUAUAUUAAUGUAUAUUGUCUGCUAUAGCAAAAGCAAGUUACAAACUCAAUUAAUACUUUAUAUUAUAUAACCUGUUACAUUGUGACAAAAUACAUCUACCCUCCUACUUUAAAGAAGAAUAAAGUGAAUGUUUUGGAAAUGCCAAGUCAAAAGUUCUGACCUUAAAAUUAUUGAAAUGUUGGGGAAGGAUGAGGAAGCAAGCAGCUCAUGUGAGGAAACCGACCAAUAUUGGUGCUAAAGCUGUUCUGUACAGAGCAAUGGGCAAAUAUUCAUCCAAGCCAAUAAGCAGGAUUGCUCAAAAGUUACUGGAAACGUUUUGUUGCAAUUAUUGCUGCUUUACUCAGCAUGGACAGCUUGUUUUUAGUAAUGCAAUUAUGUUUUUGGACUUUCUUUUUAGGACCUUGUAAAAUGUUCUAACUUUAGGGCUUAACUGUAAAUGUUCUGCAACCAUAGAUUGCACAUGCAAUGUCUUUGAAAGCAUGUCUGUGCUAUAUAUGUUGAAUAAAUGUUUAAAACUUG
This is a non-coding RNA of Misgurnus anguillicaudatus (oriental weatherfish), 1398 nucleotides long. The record is from RefSeq and is a predicted model, not a curated record. NCBI's taxonomy places the organism in Eukaryota, Metazoa, Chordata, Actinopteri, Cypriniformes, Cobitidae.